UCUGGGAAAGAUUCUAUCGGUAUGGGAUGGGGUCGCGUCCUAUCAGCUUGAUGGCGGGGUAACGGCCCACCAUGGCUUCGACGGGUAGCCGGCCUGAGAGGGCGACCGGCCACAUUGGGACUGAGAUACGGCCCAGACUCCUACGGGAGGCAGCAGUGGGGAAUAUUGCACAAUGGGCGCAAGCCUGAUGCAGCGACGCCGCGUGCGGGAUGACGGCCUUCGGGUUGUAAACCGCUUUUGACUGGGAGCAAGCCCUUCGGGGUGAGUGUACCUUUCGAAUAAGCACCGGCUAACUACGUGCCAGCAGCCGCGGUAAUACGUAGGGUGCAAGCGUUAUCCGGAAUUAUUGGGCGUAAAGGGCUCGUAGGCGGUUCGUCGCGUCCGGUGUGAAAGUCCAUCGCUUAACGGUGGAUC
RNAcentral lists this ribosomal RNA (414 nucleotides) under uncultured Bifidobacterium sp. RNAcentral's name for it is "bacterial SSU rRNA". It matches the Rfam family "Bacterial small subunit ribosomal RNA", at positions 197 to 621 of the family's 1533-position model. Lineage: Bacteria; Bacillati; Actinomycetota; Actinomycetes; Bifidobacteriales; Bifidobacteriaceae. The record is from RNAcentral.